CUUUGUUUAUUAUGUUUAUUUUAUUAAGAAAAGUGUUUUUUCAGUAUAAAUUUUGAGUAUUUUUCUAUCCACAAUCAAGAACAGCUCUUAGAUAAACUAUAAUAUAAUGAAAAUAUAGUGAUAUUACUACUUUAUACAGCGGAAAUUUUAAGAAAAAUUCAAUGUUGACAUAAUUUUCCGUUUUUCUGAAAAACGUUGUAGGAAAGCUUGUGCGUGGCGAAGGUGAAUGGUGGACUGAUUUCUGGCCUGGAGAAGAAGGCCAAUUGAUAUUAAGUGUGGUGCUUUUUGCUUUCAACCGAAGAAUCUCUUUUUCCUUUUAGUGUCCAUGUUUAAGAUGUAGAAAUUUAUGUUGUAAGAAUGUCUGAAGUAGAUAGGUACCUCAAUAAGUUACAAUUGUAACCAUGCACAGUUAGCAUCCUCAACUUAAGCAAGAUUUGUGUUCCACAUCUUUGUAUCGAUGGAACCAUUCUUGAAACUGGAAACGUAUACCUUCCGGAGUGUUUAAGGAAUUUACAAUUUGCAAUGGAUAUAUGUAUGUAUUUACAAUUUUUUACCAAACCAAAAAUUUUUAUUCUUGUUAUUUAUGUCCUUAAAUACUGUAUAGUAGGUAUGGCGACACUUGUGCCAGACAGACAACUAAUAUAGAUCAAUAGGCGAUCGACGUAAAACAGAUAAGGAUUUUCAAAAUUUGCUACUACAAGAAUAAACAUGUUUAAACAAGAAACAACCAUUUAAAAACAGACAAACCACUUUAAAAAAUAAAUAAAACAGACCUGUUAUUUUAAGCAUUUUGGUGGUUGU
Sitophilus oryzae (rice weevil) is the source of this 801-nucleotide long non-coding RNA. RefSeq lists it as uncharacterized. The transcript is spliced from 3 exons. NCBI's taxonomy places the organism in Eukaryota, Metazoa, Arthropoda, Insecta, Coleoptera, Curculionidae. The record is from RefSeq and is a predicted model, not a curated record.